Molecule: long non-coding RNA, 223 nt
Filed under: Carica papaya (papaya)
Lineage: Eukaryota; Viridiplantae; Streptophyta; Magnoliopsida; Brassicales; Caricaceae
Description: long non-coding RNA (CPAP_LNC009604)
Source: RNAcentral
AACACAUCUCCCUGUACUGGUUGAGCUACACUUUCUCGUCCUAUGUCCGCUAUCGGCAUAUCUUCCUGCUCAAACUUUCCUUGUCAUUGAUGAUAUCUCCAUCAUCUUGGAUGAUCAUGACACGCUGAUUGGGACACUUGGAUAUGAUAUGCCCCACUCCUAAGCACUUGAAACACUUAAUGGAGGAGAAAAACCUCCUCCAUCAACGGCAGCACCACCAACG